GGAAAGGCUCAGUGGUAGAGAACGUGCUUUUCAUGCAAAAUGUCCCUGGUUCAAUCCCAGGCAUUUCCA
Non-coding RNA from Podarcis lilfordi (Lilford's wall lizard), 69 nucleotides. NCBI's taxonomy places the organism in Eukaryota, Metazoa, Chordata, Lepidosauria, Squamata, Lacertidae. The record is from the annotation of a GenBank genome assembly.